GAUGAACGCUGGCGGCAGGCUUAACACAUGCAAGUCGAGCGGGGGAAGGUAGCUUGCUACCGGACCUAGCGGCGGACGGGUGAGUAAUGCUUAGGAAUCUGCCUAUUAGUGGGGGACAACAUCUCGAAAGGGAUGCUAAUACCGCAUACGUCCUACGGGAGAGAGCAGGGGAUCACUUGUGACCUUGCGCUAAUAGAUGAGCCUAAGUCGGAUUAGCUAGUUGGUGGGGUAAAGGCCUACCAAGGCGACGAUCUGUAGCGGGUCUGAGAGGAUGAUCCGCCACACUGGGACUGAGACACGGCCCAGACUCCUACGGGAGGCAGCAGUGGGGAAUAUUGGACAAUGGGGGGAACCCUGAUCCAGCCAUGCCGCGUGUGUGAAGAAGGCCUUAUGGUUGUAAAGCACUUUAAGCGAGGAGGAGGCUCUUUUGGUUAAUACCCAAGAUGAGUGGACGUUACUCGCAGAAUAAGCACCGGCUAACUCUGUGCCAGCCGCCGCCGUAA
This 503-nucleotide ribosomal RNA is filed under the name uncultured bacterium. Its description in RNAcentral is "partial 16S ribosomal RNA". It matches the Rfam family "Bacterial small subunit ribosomal RNA", at positions 28 to 523 of the family's 1533-position model. The record is from RNAcentral.